UCCGUCCUCCAUCGCCGCUCUUGCUGUCCGCCGCCACUAAAGACGCUCGAGAGGGGUCAGGAAGUACCUCAAUAUGAAGUCUUCAAGAUUACUCACACGAGAAAGGCGAAGAACGCCGAUGGUACGGACCAAUGGAUUGAGCCAAGGGCUCAGCAAACCUAUAUCGAGUUUCAACAACACAAGUUGGAAUACUAUGCCAAUCAGCCAGUCAGGACGUCGAUGACCAAUGAGAUAAUUGGAUUCGAGCGGACGGAGAAGGUAGCUCCCCC
Molecule: long non-coding RNA, 269 nt
Organism: Lycium ferocissimum
Lineage: Eukaryota; Viridiplantae; Streptophyta; Magnoliopsida; Solanales; Solanaceae
Exons: 3
Source: RefSeq, a predicted model, not a curated record